This is a long non-coding RNA of Nannospalax galili (Upper Galilee mountains blind mole rat), 264 nucleotides long. RefSeq lists it as uncharacterized. The record is from RefSeq and is a predicted model, not a curated record. The transcript has 3 exons. NCBI's taxonomy places the organism in Eukaryota, Metazoa, Chordata, Mammalia, Rodentia, Spalacidae.
CGCACACCAGCCGGCACACGCGCACACACACGCGCGCGCACACACCGGGGCUCCCAGCGGCGGUGGCGGCCGCAUCCCGGCAACAGCUCGGACCAGAGUGACAGGGGACUGUGCCCUGGGUUUGAUCAAGUGGACAUCCCUUGCUGUUGGUCCCGAGCUGCCUGGUCUUGACUAUCAUCAUGGCCAAACCCUAUGAAUUUAACUGGCAGAAAGAAGUUCCUCCCUUUUUGCAAGAAGGAGCAGUUUUUGAUAGAUAUGAAGAGG